Molecule: ribosomal RNA, 253 nt
Filed under: uncultured bacterium
Lineage: Bacteria
Description: partial 16S ribosomal RNA
Rfam family: Bacterial small subunit ribosomal RNA
Source: RNAcentral
UACGUAGGUGGCAAGCGUUAUCCGGAAUUAUUGGGCGUAAAGCGCGCGUAGGCGGUUUUUUAAGUCUGAUGUGAAAGCCCACGGCUCAACCGUGGAGGGUCAUUGGAAACUGGAAAACUUGAGUGCAGAAGAGGAAAGUGGAAUUCCAUGUGUAGCGGUGAAAUGCGCAGAGAUAUGGAGGAACACCAGUGGCGAAGGCGACUUUCUGGUCUGUAACUGACGCUGAGGAGCGAAAGCGUGGGGAGCGAACAGG